GUGCUCGCUUCCGCAGCACAUACACUAACAUUAGAAGGAUACGCAGAAGAUUAGCAUGGCCCCUGUGCAAGGAUGACAUGCAAACUCAUAAAGCAUUCUGUAUUUAA
Molecule: small nuclear RNA, 107 nt
Filed under: Chinchilla lanigera (long-tailed chinchilla)
Lineage: Eukaryota; Metazoa; Chordata; Mammalia; Rodentia; Chinchillidae
Source: RNAcentral